This 71-nucleotide transfer RNA is filed under the name Loxodonta africana (African savanna elephant). It matches the Rfam family "tRNA". From Rfam's summary of the family: Transfer RNA (tRNA) molecules are approximately 80 nucleotides in length. Their secondary structure includes four short double-helical elements and three loops (D, anti-codon, and T loops). Further hydrogen bonds mediate the characteristic L-shaped molecular structure. tRNAs have two regions of fundamental functional importance: the anti-codon, which is responsible for specific mRNA codon recognition, and the 3' end, to which the tRNAs corresponding amino acid is attached (by aminoacyl-tRNA synthetases). tRNAs cope with the degeneracy of the genetic code in two manners: having more than one tRNA (with a specific anti-codon) for a particular amino acid; and 'wobble' base-pairing, i.e. permitting non-standard base-pairing at the 3rd anti-codon position. The record is from Rfam by way of RNAcentral. Lineage: Eukaryota; Metazoa; Chordata; Mammalia; Proboscidea; Elephantidae.
ACAUUGGUGGUUCAGUGGUAGAAUUCUUGCCUUCUAUGCGAGAGAACUGAGUUUGAGUCCUGGCCGAUGCA